AUAGUUUCGCCAUUGCAGUGCAUUCCUCGUGGUCAUUAACGGAAGUUCCCCUCCUGUUGUUUUGGAAGCUACUCCCGCAAUUUGCUUUCAGGAACGAGCUGCAAUUUAUCGCAACUUAACAGAUAGAGGUGUUUUUCGAAUGGCUACUGGUACAGUCAAGUGGUUCAACGACGCGAAGGGCUUUGGCUUCAUCACCCCGAGCGACGGCGGCAAGGAUGUGUUCGUGCAUCACAGCGCGAUCGUCGGAACGGGCUUCAAGUCCCUGGCCGAAGGUCAGAAGGUGACGUUUAACAUCGAGCAGGGUCCGAAGGGCCCGUCGGCAGCGAACGUUCAGCCGGCCUAAGGUUCAGACACUGCGUUAGCAGAUUUGAACAGAAGACCCCGCCACCGCGCGGGGUCUUUUUU
Molecule: non-coding RNA, 405 nt
Organism: Thiotrichales bacterium SG8_50
Lineage: Bacteria; Pseudomonadati; Pseudomonadota; Gammaproteobacteria; Thiotrichales
Source: Rfam